RNAcentral lists this long non-coding RNA (312 nucleotides) under Brassica napus (rape). RNAcentral describes it as "long non-coding RNA (BNAP_LNC004234)". The record is from RNAcentral. Lineage: Eukaryota; Viridiplantae; Streptophyta; Magnoliopsida; Brassicales; Brassicaceae.
CGCAAUUUUACACAUUGCGGAGAACUCUCGAAACAAAUCACAGAUAUAGCAGUUCACACAGAGUUAGAUUACGAGAUGAAAACUCGUAGUCUUCCCUCUACACCCAUACAAAAUGCAAUCGGCAGCAACACACCUGAUAACCUCUACAUAUAAACUAGACCGUAAACGUCUCGCUGGAAAACUAGUCAUAAGAACCUUAACUCCAAGACGAACUACGAAAGGCAUGAUCCCUUCAACAAGGGUACGUAGGCAGCCGUCAUAACGCACAGCCCGAAUCUUAUCGCGAGCGAGAAGACCAUUUACCACGGACCU